AGGCCUCCAGGGUCCCAGCGCGCCUGGGACAGGACAGCAGAUCGGACCCAGCUGGUGUGGGUGGAUGAGGGCCAGCAGCCUUCAGCUAAGAGCAGGGUGGUGGGCCAUAGUCGUCAGAUCAGAUUUCCCAAAAGAAACCAGAAAUCCAGGUUUUCAUGUGGAAUAUCCUGAUUUUUAAAUGUUGGCAACUAAUAAUUUCUAAAUUUGGGGGGUAGGGGAGACUAAGCAAAAGAAAAAUGAGAGCAGGAUUCAACCAGUUACAACCUCUGACCCCGGUGUCCUCCAGAAGGGUGAAGUCAGUUCUUUGAAUCCUAAUGGAUUUAUACAUUUUUCUUACCUGCACCAAGAGCAGAAGUUCCACAAAAAGACAAAAAGAUGUGGAGAGUGAGGCCCAGACAGGAGUGGCCAUCUGUCAUCAGAUACACCUUCCUGACAGAGACAGUCUGCAUGGUCAAAGGACAAAAGGACACAAUCCUCAUGGUCAAUGGCAAGAUCAAGAUUUAUUUUAGAGAGAGGACAAGCAAGGAGAGGGGAAGAAGGAAAGAGAGAAUCCUCAAGCAUAUUCCCAGAAGAGCAGAGAGCCCCCACUGAGAUCAUGACCUGGGCUGAAAUCAAGAGUUGGAUGCUGGGGAU
Long non-coding RNA from Canis lupus familiaris (dog), 633 nucleotides. RefSeq lists it as uncharacterized. The record is from RefSeq and is a predicted model, not a curated record. The transcript is spliced from 3 exons. Lineage: Eukaryota; Metazoa; Chordata; Mammalia; Carnivora; Canidae.